Molecule: unclassified non-coding RNA, 259 nt
Filed under: plant metagenome
Description: partial contains small subunit ribosomal RNA, internal transcribed spacer 1, and 5.8S ribosomal RNA
Source: RNAcentral
UUUCCGUAGGUGAACCUGCGGAAGGAUCAUUAUCUAUUUUAACGGUGUUGGUUGCGGCCUCCGGGGGUAUCCCCCUGGGUGUAGAGGUAAUACUCGCGCGCACCACAUGCCUUAAUCCUUUUUUUACGAGCACCUUUCGUUAUCCUUCGGUGGGGCAACCUGCCGUUGGAACUUAUCAAAACCCUUUUUUUGCAUCUAGCAUUACCUGUUCUGAUACAAACAAUCGUUAUAACUUUCAACAAUGGAUCUCUUGGCUCUG